UUCCGGUUGAUCCCGCCGGACCUGACUGCUAUCGGAUUGAUACUAAGCCAUGCGAGUCAUUGUAGCAAUACAAGGCAUACGGCUCAGUAACGCGUAGUCAACCUAACCUAUGGACGGGAAUAACCUCGGGAAACUGAGAAUAAUGCCCGAUAGAACACUAUACCUGGAAUGGUUUGUGUUCCAAAUGAUUUAUCGCCGUAGGAUGGGACUGCGGCCUAUCAGUUUGUUGGUGAGGUAAUGGCCCACCAAGACUAUUACAGGUACGGGCUCUGAGAGGAGUAGCCCGGAGAUGGGUACUGAGACACGGACCCAGGCCCUAUGGGGCGCAGCAGGCGAGAAAACUUUGCAAUGUGCGAAAGCACGACAAGGUUAAUCCGAGUGAUUUGUGCUAAACGAAUCUUUUGUUAGUCCUAGAACCACUAACGAAUAAGGGGUGGGCAAGUUCUGGUGUCAGCCGCCGCGGUAAAACCAGCACCUCAAGUGGUCAGGAUGAUUAUUGGGCCUAAAGCAUCCGUAGCCGGCUCUGUAAGUUUUCGGUUAAAUCUGUACGCUUAACGUACAGGCUGCCGGGAAUACUGCAGAGCUAGGGAGUGGGAGAGGUAGACGGUACUCGGUAGGAAGGGGUAAAAUCCUUUGAUCUAUUGAUGACCACCUGUGGCGAAGGCGGUCUACCAGAACACGUCCG
RNAcentral lists this ribosomal RNA (685 nucleotides) under uncultured archaeon. Its description in RNAcentral is "bacterial SSU rRNA". It matches the Rfam family "Archaeal small subunit ribosomal RNA", at positions 1 to 693 of the family's 1478-position model. The record is from RNAcentral.